RNAcentral lists this ribosomal RNA (900 nucleotides) under uncultured Parabacteroides sp. Its description in RNAcentral is "bacterial SSU rRNA". It matches the Rfam family "Bacterial small subunit ribosomal RNA", at positions 522 to 1425 of the family's 1533-position model. Lineage: Bacteria; Pseudomonadati; Bacteroidota; Bacteroidia; Bacteroidales; Tannerellaceae. The record is from RNAcentral.
AAUACGGAGGAUGCGAGCGUUAUCCGGAUUUAUUGGGUUUAAAGGGUGCGUAGGCUGUUAUAUAAGUCAGUGGUGAAAUAUUCGGGCUCAACCGGGAUACUGCCAUUGAUACUGUAUAGCUGGAAUAUGGUUGCUGUGGGUGGAAUGUGUGGUGUAGCGGUGAAAUGCAUAGAUAUCACACAGAAUAUCGAUUGCGAAGGCAACUCACAAAGCCAUUAUUGACGCUGAUGCACGAAAGUGUGGGGAUCAAACAGGAUUAGAUACCCUGGUAGUCCACACUGUAAACGAUGAUAACUAGCUGUCGGCGAUAGAUAGUCGGUGGCUAAGCGAAAGCGAUAAGUUAUCCACCUGGGGAGUACGACCGCAAGGUUGAAACUCAAAGGAAUUGACGGGGGCCCGCACAAGCGGAGGAACAUGUGGUUUAAUUCGAUGAUACGCGAGGAACCUUACCCGGGCUCGAACGGUGCAGGAAUAUGGUAGAGAUAUCAUAGCUAGCAAUAGUCUGUAUCGAGGUGCUGCAUGGUUGUCGUCAGCUCGUGCCGUGAGGUGUCGGCUUAAGUGCCAUAACGAGCGCAACCCUUGUCGUUAGUUACCAUCAAGUAAAGUUGGGGACUCUAGCGAGACUGCCACCGUAAGGUGUGAGGAAGGGGGGGAUGACGUCGAAUCAGCACGGCCCUUACGUCCGGGGCGACACACGUGUUACAAUGGUAGGUACAGAGGGGCGCUAUCCAGUGAUGGAGUGCGAAUCUCAAAAACCUAUCUCAGUUCGGAUUGGNNUCUGCAACUCGACUCCAUGAAGUUGGAUUCGCUAGUAAUCGCGCAUCAGCCAUGGCGCGGUGAAUACGUUCCCGGGNCUUGUACACACCGCCCGUCAAGCCAUGGAAGCCGGGGGUGCCUGAA